Molecule: non-coding RNA, 3448 nt
Organism: Pelodiscus sinensis (Chinese soft-shelled turtle)
Lineage: Eukaryota; Metazoa; Chordata; Testudines; Trionychidae
Source: RefSeq, a predicted model, not a curated record
AUCUUAAGUAACUAUGAAAUACAUAUCCAGACAGGAAGAAAUCAGAGACAUUUCUUGGUAGAAAUAGAUAAUUAUUCUUAUUUUGAGAAUAUUUUUUCUGGAUUACAGGAAAUAGGAGGGAGAGUCCCCUCUCAACUUCAUAUAAGAAUAAACAAAAGGUAUUAAAUUUGGGAAAGCUACUCAUGCAUCUUGUCAAUAGCCACACAAAACUGGCCCAAGCAUACCUGUCACAGACAAAUCAAACUCAAACACCAUUUAAUCAGAGAAAAACACAUGCAGAUGUUCAAUUAAAAACUGGAGCCUACAGUCUUGGCUCUGUUUGCACUGGCCCACAUUGUUUGUCGAGUAACAACGGUUGCUAUGGGUGACACAGUCCACUCCCGUUUCCAAGGGCUGGUUGCUCGGCGACAGAGAGAAUACUUCCCAAACCAAACAAUGCUAUCCCCUAGCCUAUCCCUCUCUCCCGCCCCCGCCAUCACACAUUAACCAGAUCGAAAACACACUUAAUAUGUCAGUGAUUAUUUUCAGAAGCCCUGGGAGGACUGAUAAAUAAUUUCUUCUCUAUAGUAACUAAGGAGGUGGGGUGGAGGGAAGGUUUAUUCUAUUUAUCCUGAAAUAAUAAAACAAUCCAGGCAGACAGUGUUCUUAAAAGCAAAUGUCCAGGAAAAGAACACUUUUAAAUCCCUCUUUUAUUUUAAAAAUAUCAACAAAUUAACCUCUCUUUGAGGUGAUUACUAGUCAUUAUGCAAGUGAUUGUCUUCUCUUCCAGCUUCUACAGGAAGUAUGAAGUAUAGGCUACAACACAGCAAGUUUACAACAAAAACAACACUACCAUGCAAACAAACAAGCCCGAGAGGAGAAAGUUUGAGGCUGCUUUUGUGUCCUAUAAUAGUAAUGCUUCAGAGAAGAAAUGCACUGAAGAGUAUUUUUUCAGAAUUCUGCGAACAUGUGAAGCUAAUUUGAACUCCACCUUCAGCAUUAUUGUGGUGAGAUCUGAGGCUGGAAUUCCUUGCUCAGAAUAAAGUCUUAAAGAGUGUUUUAGGAAAGUGCUAAGGUGGUUGGUAUGAAAAUACAGGAAUUUUUAAAAAAUUUUGCUAGAUUGGUAGAAAUGGAAGACAAUCAUAGAUACAAUGGCAUGAACUGAAACAUAAAAAUUCUUCUGCACUUGCUAAUUAUUAUUAAAGCCACAUGUUACCCUUUUACACUCCCAACAUCAGUGGGAACUGUGACUGCAGAAUUUAUCCCACAGCUCCGAUUCUGAAGCCAAAGUUCUUUCACUUUUAAGGUCACCAUGACAUUGGCUCAUCUUCACACUGAUUAAAGACUAAGUUUUUAGGAAACGUUGCUAAUUCUAAAUAUUUGAGAUUUUUAGGAGUUUUUAAAUGACUAUGGCAUGAAAAUGAAACAGAUUUUUUUCAGGCUUUUAUCCAGUGAUAGCUCAGUCUUCCAGUUUAAGAUAUCAGAAUUACAAUAAGGCAUUCUCUCUUCUGCAAGAGGAAAUCAUAAGUAACAGAAAUGAAAUCCACAGGAUUGUAAAUCAUUGCUUUAAACUCCCUACAAAAAAACUGUGCUUUAAUGCUUUUAACCAAGAUUUUGUGCUUGAACUUUAAAGGCUUUUUUUAAUACUGUCACUGACACAAAUGGAUGUACUCAGCAGUCUUCUGCCAUCUAGUUGUGGUCAAUCCCUGGGAGGUGGAAUCCGUGUUCAGUCAGAUGACUUGGCCCAAUGGCACUGUAGAGCAUGUGACCACUUCCUGGAAGAUGUUCCCAGUGGCAUUAACAGAAACUGGAGUGAAUUUCACCCUGUCUCUGUAAAUCAGACAGGUGGUCAAGACCAAUGGAAUGCCAAGACAGAAAUAAAAGUGGCUAGAGCUCAUGGAAGCAAGGCCCUUCCCAUCAGCUGAAGGAGGAGCCGCAGGACUUAAUUAAGUAUGAAAUAUGCUAGACUGAGAACUGAAGAACAAAGGCCUCUGUUUAACCCUGAAGGUGGUACAGAGAAGGCAGAAGUGGGGUGACAGCAUCGAUUUAAAGCAGAAUGUGCUGUGCCCUGAAAGUGAGCGGAGUUCUAGGCUAAUUUGGAAAGACCACAACUAAAGGCCACUCAGAGUUUGCUGAGAUUCCCACAGAUGUGUCUGCUUCAGCUCUUAUAGACCGAUUCACUGGUGUCCUACCAGAAACACAUGAAUAAUCACAGCUUGCAUGGUAAAAAUCUUAUGUGGUACUAUACGAACAAGAAAAUAAAACAGUACUAGUCCAGAAAUGUUGGUCUUCAUUGUUUACCUUUCCUUCAUCCUUCUCCAAUAUCUUCCCAGCUCUUUAAAAUACUCACACGGCUGCAUUUCUAUGAGAUCACACUUUGAUGGAUCACCCAUCAAGUCCAACACAGCUCUCCCCUUAUCCUUUUCUCCCAACAAACAAACAAACAAACCCAAAACCCAACUCUUUAGCUAACAACAAAAUCAAGCAGCUUUUUGGAAGUGAAACAGCUGCUACCUCUGAGGCAAAAAGGAAAUGGAUUUUUCCGGCUGUUAAGCAACAGGCUCUGUGCUAAAUGUUUUUUGUAAGGGGGCCUGCUGAAACAGCUGUGGACUCAGAGAGCCUUGUAUAGGACCUAGCAGUCGGUCAUUUGAAUGAUGUUUGGUCUUACAAAGGUUACACCAGAGAGAGGAAUUAUAUGAACAAACGCUUUGCAGGACUGGGCUCUGUGGUAGUAAACACCCCAAGACUUACACCUGUGAAUAACUUCACUGGUGAGUGUAACUACAUUUCAGUGGGGCUCUUCACAUGUGUAAAGUCAUUACAUUAUAAUCACCACACAACCAUAUGCUACUAGAUCAAUAGUACUAAUGGCAAUAAAUUCACAUUGCCAACAGUUGCCAGUAACUUUUCCAAUGCAGGAACUUUGCAAAGGACCAGGGAAAUUUGAAUGAAUGCUACUCCUCCAAAAAGGAAGGCUGUUUUCAGGACUCGGCCAAGUGUUCUACCAGCCCCUUGGAGAUCAUGUUUGAGUAAUUGCAAAACCUUAUGGUCCAUUAUAAUGUUAAUUCUUAGCUUCGGCUGGCUAGUUGUUGUCAAGAAAUAUAAUUAGAUGUUGUGUAGCUACGCUACAAACUGGAAGGAAUGCUAAGAAUGCCCUUGCUUACAAGUAGAGGAACAAUAUUAAGAGACCACAAGUUGAAGCAUGUAUCCUGGGAGUUGUAAAGAAUGUACAUACAUGCACCUCUACAGAGACUGAAAAAGAAUCAGAUUAAAGAUCAGUUAAUAGCAGGCAUGUAUCCCCACCCCAGUGCACACACAAAGCCCCACAUGUCCAAAACACAAACCAAUUAGAAAAAGCAAUCCAAAGACAACCCUCAAAUUCUGUCCUGAACUCAUAAGAACUUAAAAACGGCCAUAAUGAGUCAGACCAAUGGUCCAUCUAGCCCAGUAUCCUGUCCUCCGACAAAGG